Non-coding RNA from Brachypodium distachyon (stiff brome), 154 nucleotides. The record is from RefSeq and is marked provisional. Lineage: Eukaryota; Viridiplantae; Streptophyta; Magnoliopsida; Poales; Poaceae.
GUCAGAACGGCUGACAGAAGAGAGUGAGCACACAGCGGCAGCCUGCAUCUGGAGCUAAAGACGAUGAUGUGUCGAUGCAUGUGAAGAAGGGGAAAAGAGAUAGGCGCAGCUGCUGUUGCGUGCUCACCCUCUCUCUGUCAGCUCUCCUCUCCCC